RNAcentral lists this long non-coding RNA (554 nucleotides) under Apteryx rowi (Okarito brown kiwi). Its description in RNAcentral is "lncRNA (ENSARWG00000009509.1)". Lineage: Eukaryota; Metazoa; Chordata; Aves; Apterygiformes; Apterygidae. The record is from RNAcentral.
UAACAGCAGUGUGCACUUUUGUCUCAUUUCUGCAGCACUCAAGGCAUUGCGGAAGCAUUAAUGAAUUAUACCUCUAGCAUGCCCAUGAGAAAGCUCCAUGCUAGAUUUCUUUCCUGCAAACAGCCAAUAUAGAUUGCAUCAGGAGGAGACAAGAAAAAGUGCUUCACUGACUUGUCAGCAGGUUACAGAAAACCUUCUCAUUCAAGUUUAUCCAAUUGGAAAUGAAAGAGAAAAAUGGAUGAGACAAGUUGAAGGCAAUUUUACAGCAGCCCCAUGAAUAUUUCAAAGAUGAGUGUUUCCAUAAGUUAAUUGGUGCCCAUUAUCAUGAAAUUAAAAGGCAAAAGGAGUGAAGGCAAUUGAGCUUCAUCCUUUUCAUUAUUAUCUCUUCCUGAGAUACAUCUCAGGUUUUUAACUCCUUUGACCCUUAGAUGGGCUUUUUGACACGCCGUCUACUGGCCCCAACACUUUCCUUGUCAUGAAAAGGGACCUUAAAGAACGGUCCACAGAACUGCAGAGGACAGAAGAGAGCUGGAAGGAAGGCACCUGUGAGAAAU